AGGAAAGGGAGGGAUUCGAACCCUGAA
RNAcentral lists this transfer RNA (27 nucleotides) under Elaphoglossum lanatum. Its description in RNAcentral is "partial tRNA-Ser". The record is from RNAcentral. Lineage: Eukaryota; Viridiplantae; Streptophyta; Polypodiopsida; Polypodiales; Dryopteridaceae.